UUAAGUUCAGCGGGUAUCCCUACCUGAUCCGAGGUCAAUCUGAGAAGUAGAUUUGGUUAAGACCGGGCCGGAGGACCGUCCAGAUGCGUGCUGCAAGGCUCGUUGCAUCCAGGGUCCCCGCGGGCUCUGCCAUUAUCUUUCGGGUCCACCGCGUAUCUCAACGGUGCGACCCAACAGCAAGCCGGGCUUGAGGGUUGAUA
Molecule: unclassified non-coding RNA, 200 nt
Filed under: Verrucaria sp.
Lineage: Eukaryota; Fungi; Ascomycota; Eurotiomycetes; Verrucariales; Verrucariaceae
Description: partial internal transcribed spacer 2
Source: RNAcentral